RNAcentral lists this ribosomal RNA (483 nucleotides) under uncultured bacterium. RNAcentral describes it as "partial 16S ribosomal RNA". It matches the Rfam family "Bacterial small subunit ribosomal RNA", at positions 30 to 507 of the family's 1533-position model. The record is from RNAcentral.
UUGAACGCUGGCGGCAGGCCUCACACCUGCAAGUCGAGCGGAUGAAGGGAGCUUGCUCCUGGAUUCAGCGGCGGACGGGUGAGUAAUGCCUAGGAAUCUGCCUGGUAGUGGGGGAUAACGUCCGGAAACGGGCGCUAAUACCGCAUACGUCCUGAGGGAGAAAGUGGGGGAUCUUCGGACCUCACGCUAUCAGAUGAGCCUAGGUCGGAUUAGCUAGUUGGUGGGGUAAAGGCCUACCAAGGCGACGAUCCGUAACUGGUCUGAGAGGAUGAUCAGUCACACCGGAACUGAGACACGGUCCAGACUCCUACGGGAGGCAGCAGUGGGGAAUAUUGGACAAUGGGCGAAAGCCUGAUCCAGCCACGCCGCGUGUGUGAAGAAGGUCUUCGGAUUGUAAAGCACUUUAAGUUGGGAGGAAGGGCAGUAAGUUAAUACCUUGCUGUUUUGACGUUACCAACAGAAUAAGCACCGGCUAACUUCGUG